RNAcentral lists this transfer RNA (72 nucleotides) under Bos taurus (domestic cattle). It matches the Rfam family "tRNA". Rfam says of the family: Transfer RNA (tRNA) molecules are approximately 80 nucleotides in length. Lineage: Eukaryota; Metazoa; Chordata; Mammalia; Artiodactyla; Bovidae. The record is from Rfam by way of RNAcentral. RNAcentral also lists the same sequence under 3 other names.
UCCCUCAUAGCUCAGUCGGUAGAGAAUCUGCCUGCAAUUCAGGAAACUCGGGUUCGAGUCCCGGGUUGGGAA